CCUACGGGUGGCAGCAGUGAGGAAUAUUGGUCAAUGGCCGGAAGACUGAACCAGCCAAGCCGCGUGAAGGACGAAGGUGCAGAGCAUCGUAAACUUCUUUUGUCAGGGGACAAAAACAGGGACGCGUGCCUGGCCGAGGGUACCUGAAGAAAAAGCAUCGGCUAACUCCGUGCCAGCAGCCGCGGUAAUACGGAGGAUGCGAGCGUUAUCCGGAUUUAUUGGGUUAAAAGGGUGCGCAGGCGGGCUGUUAAGUCAGCGGUAAAAGCCCGGGGCUCAACCCCGGCCAGCCGUUGAAACUGGCGGUCUUGAGAUGUCGAGAGGUAUGCGGAAUGCGCAGUGUAGCGGUGAAAUGCUUAGAUAUUGCGCAGAACUCCGAUUGCGAAGGCAGCAUGCCGGCGGCGAUCUGACGCUGAGGCACGAAAGCGUGGGUAUCGAACAGGAUUAGAUACCCCUGUAGUC
This 459-nucleotide ribosomal RNA is filed under the name uncultured bacterium. RNAcentral's name for it is "partial 16S ribosomal RNA". It matches the Rfam family "Bacterial small subunit ribosomal RNA", at positions 338 to 795 of the family's 1533-position model. The record is from RNAcentral.